CUCCUACGGGAGGCUGCAGUAGGGAAUUUUCCGCAAUGCACGAAAGUGUGACGGAGCGACGCCGCGUGUGUGAUGAAGGCUUUCGGGUCGUAAAGCACUGUUGUAAGGGAAGAAUAACUGAAUUCAGAGAAAGUUUUCAGCUUGACGGUACCUUACCAGAAAGGGAUGGCUAAAUACGUGCCAGCAGCCGCGGUAAUACGUAUGUCCCGAGCGUUAUCCGGAUUUAUUGGGCGUAAAGCGAGCGCAGACGGUUUAUUAAGUCUGAUGUGAAAUCCCGAGGCCCAACCUCGGAACUGCAUUGGAAACUGAUUUAUUUGAGUGCGAUAGAGGCAAGUGGAACUCCAUGUGUAGCGGUGAAAUGCGUAGAUAUGUGGAAGAACACCAGUGGCGAAAGCGGCUUGCUAGAUCGUAACUGACGUUGAGGCUCGAAAGUAUGGGUAGCAAACGGGAUUAGAUACCCCGGUAGUCCAUACCGUAAACGAUGGGUGCUAGUUGUUAAGAGGUUUCCGCCUCCUAGUGACGUAGCAAACGCAUUAAGCACCCCGCCUGAGGAGUACGGCCGCAAGGCUAAAACUUAAAGGAAUUGACGGGGACCCGCACAAGCGGUGGAGCAUGUGGUUUAAUUCGAAGAUACGCGAAAAACCUUACCAGGUCUUGACAUACCAAUGAUCGCUUUUGUAAUGAAAGCUUUUCUUCGGAACAUUGGAUACAGGUGGUGCAUGGUCGUCGUCAGUUCGUGUCGUGAGAUGUUGGGUUAAGUCCCGCAACGAGCGUAACCCUUGUUAUUAGUUGCCAGCAUUUAGUUGGGCACUCUAAUGAGACUGCCGGUGAUAAA
RNAcentral lists this ribosomal RNA (835 nucleotides) under Oenococcus oeni. RNAcentral's name for it is "bacterial SSU rRNA". It matches the Rfam family "Bacterial small subunit ribosomal RNA", at positions 336 to 1162 of the family's 1533-position model. The record is from RNAcentral. Lineage: Bacteria; Bacillati; Bacillota; Bacilli; Lactobacillales; Lactobacillaceae.